Molecule: long non-coding RNA, 439 nt
Filed under: Rattus norvegicus (Norway rat)
Lineage: Eukaryota; Metazoa; Chordata; Mammalia; Rodentia; Muridae
Description: long non-coding RNA NONRATT032069
Source: RNAcentral
UGCCUGUUGCUCAGACUGAGAGCUGAGCUGAGGCAGAACAGACACACUCAUGCAGAGGGACAUGUGCCACAUUCCUCCUCAGAGCCUGCUCUGUGUGCUGGUGGCCUUGGCUUUGUCUGGAUGUAAUGUGGCCCAGAAAGUGACUCAGGUCCAGUCAACAGCAAGCAGGCAGGAGGGGGAAGACGUCACCCUGGAGUGUUCAUAUAAGACAAGUUAUGGCGCAUAUUAUCUUUUUUGGUACAAGCAGCUUCUUAGUGGAGAGAUGGUUUUCCUUUUUCGCCAAUUUUCUUUUGAUUCUCAGAACCAGAGGAGCGGCCGCUAUUCUGUAGUCUUCCAGAAAUCACUCAAGUCCAUCAGCCUUGUCAUUUCAGCCUCUCGACCAGAGGAUUCGGGGAAGUAUUUCUGUGCUGUCAGUGAUUUGACACAGUGUUUUAAGUGA